UGGGGAAUUUUUCGCAAUGGGCGAAAGCCUGACGAAGCAACGCCGCGUGGAGGAUGAAGGCCUUCGGGUCGUAAACUCCUGUCGACCGGGACGAAAGUAGGAUGGCCUAAUACGCCGAUCUAUUGACUGUACCGGUGGAGGAAGCCACGGCUAACUCUGUGCCAGUAGCCGCGGUAAUACAGAGGUGGCAAGCGUUGUUCGGAAUUACUGGGCGUAAAGGGCGCGUAGGCGGCUUGGUCAGUCCCGUGUGAAAUCCCUCGGCUCAACUGAGGAACUGCACGGGAAACUGCCUGGCUUGAGUUCGGGAGAGGGAAGCGGAAUUCCGGGUGUAGCGGUGAAAUGCGUAGAUAUCCGGAGGAACACCGGUGGCGAAGGCGGCUUCCUGGACCGACACUGACGCUGAGGCGCGAAAGCUAGGGGAGCAAACGG
RNAcentral lists this ribosomal RNA (429 nucleotides) under uncultured bacterium. RNAcentral's name for it is "bacterial SSU rRNA". It matches the Rfam family "Bacterial small subunit ribosomal RNA", at positions 355 to 775 of the family's 1533-position model. The record is from RNAcentral.